UUUGUAUUACGUGCGGAAAUUGUUACCAUUUUUGAGCUGAAAAUAGUAACAAUUUUCGCACGUAAUAGCCU
RNAcentral lists this microRNA precursor (71 nucleotides) under Paramuricea clavata. The record is from RNAcentral. Lineage: Eukaryota; Metazoa; Cnidaria; Anthozoa; Malacalcyonacea; Plexauridae.